Molecule: regulatory RNA element, 67 nt
Organism: Rhodoferax fermentans
Lineage: Bacteria; Pseudomonadati; Pseudomonadota; Betaproteobacteria; Burkholderiales; Comamonadaceae
Rfam family: ilvH RNA
Source: Rfam
AACAAAUCUAUUGCUCGCCAGGUCCGCGCAUUACCGUGUGUGGAUGAGGGCGGCGACAGUGCAAGCU